AGCCCUGCUGUUCCCUGCACCGCGCGCCCCCCCGGGCGGGAGGGGCGGGGGCAAGCUCUGUCCCGGCCGGCGCUGAUCUUACGCUCCCAUUGGCCGCUGUCUGCGCUGACGUCACGAUCAUGAUGAGAAUUAAUGAUCGGAGGCGCUGAUUUCAUUGUGUGACGCCGGGACCGACCCAGCCGAAACCGGCUGAAUCCGGAGCCCCGAGCCCCCCAGCGCAGCCCCGCGGAGCACGAUGAAUCUGCGUUCUGUAUUUACUGUAGAACAACAAAGGAUAUUACAGCGUUAUUAUGAAAAUGGAAUGACAAAUCAAAGUAAAAAUUGCUUUCAGCUCAUAUUACAGUGUGCACAAGAAACUAAACUGGACUUCAGUGUAGUCAGGACGUGGGUUGGCAAUAAAAGAAGAAAGAUGAGCAGCAAGAAUGCUGUAGAGUCAGGAGGCACUCCCCCGGGGACUGUCCCUGCUACACCCUCAGUACCUCCAGAAGCAGCAGUUAGAAACGUGGUAAAUAUUACUCGAUCCCAAAGUCAGCAGUCUUCUUGGACCUCUUCUAAUAAUGAUGUAAUAGUUACUGGUAUAUACAGUCCUGCUAGUUCAUCUAGUAGGCAAGGAUCCACCAAACAGACAAAUGCAUCAGUAGCAGAGAUACAUAAAAACUCUAUUCCGAGACUAUCAGGAAAAAGUGAUACAGAAUUUCAGCAGCAGCACAUCCCUAUAGGACGACAAGUACCACAUUGUAAAAAUGCUUCCCUAUUAGUAGGGGAAAAGACUAUUAUUUUAUCUAGGCAAACAAGUGUGUUGAAUUCUGCGAACUCCAUAUAUAGUCACACUAAGAAAAGUUAUGGUGGUUCAUCAGUCCAGACUGCAGAGUUGGUAUUACCUCAGAAGCCAGUGAUAUGCCACAGACCAUGUAAAGCUGAAUCCGUGGGAUGUCAAAGGUUACAAAAAUCAGAACAUGCAACUCUUGCAUCGCAUAUGCCCCUUGGACAAAGGGCUAAUACUAGGGACCCUUCUUGUAGCACCCAAAACCUGGAAAUUCGUGAGGUGUUUUCACUGGCAGUGACAGAUCAACCUCAGAGAACUGUGGGAGGAAGUACAGCACAGAAGCAUUGUUCAGUGGAAGGCAGCUGUCUCUCCAUUGCAAUGGAAACUGGAGAUGUUGAUGAUGAAUAUGCUAGAGAAGAAGAACUAGCAUCCAUGGGAGCACAAAUACAAAGCUAUUCAAGAUAUUGUGAAAGUAACAGCUCUGUUCGCAUAGAGAACCAAAGUGCAGCGCUCUCUGGGCCGGGAAGAAAUGUGAGCUGUAGUUCGCAGAUGGUGAAUGCCAGGGAUGUGCCUGACAAUAUAUUGUAUCAUAACAGAGACUACCAUUUGCCUGCACGGACCUCAUUACAUACAGCAUCCAAUACGUUAUAUAACAGUGCUAAUACAUCAAGAAGUACUUUUUCUCCUCAUUUUACAUCUUCAAGUCAACUGAGGCUGUCUCAAAACCAAAAUAAUUACCAGAUUUCAGGAAACCUUACUGUGCCUUGGAUUACAGGUUGUUCCAGAAAAAGAGCAUUACAGGACCGCACACAGUUUAGUGACCGAGACUUGGCUACCCUAAAGAAAUACUGGGACAAUGGCAUGACCAGCCUGGGCUCAGUCUGCAGAGAGAAAAUUGAAGCUGUUGCUGCAGAAUUAAAUGUUGACUGUGAAAUAGUGCGGACGUGGAUUGGGAAUCGAAGACGGAAAUAUCGUUUAAUGGGGAUUGAGGUCCCACCCCCUAGAGGAGGUCCUGCUGAUUUCUCUGAUCAAUCUGAAUUUGUUUCUAAAUCAGCACUUAAUCCGGGAGAGGAAACUGCUACUGAAGUGGGGGAUGAUAAUGAUAGGAAUGAUGAAGUAUCAAUCUGCUUAUCUGAAGGAAGCUCACAAGAAGAGACAAAUGACACUCUUCAAAAUGAAGAAAUCGGUCACAAAGAAGACGACCAGAAUCCAGCAUGUACUGAUAAUGUGAAAAUAGAAAUUAUAGAUGAUGAAGAGAGUGAUAUGAUAAGCAAUUCUGAAGUGGAUCAAAUGAGUUCUCUCUUGGAUUACAAGAAUGAAGAAGUCAGAUUCAUUGAAAAUGAGUUGGAGAAUCACAAACAGAAGUAUUUUGAACUACAGUCAUUUACUCGCAGUUUGAUACUUGCUAUUAAAUCAGAUGAUAAAGAACAGCAGCAGGCACUGCUGUCAGACUUACCUCCUGAGUUAGAAGAAAUGGAUUUCAAUCAUGCAUCCCCAGAACCUGAUGAUACCUCAUUCAGUUUGUCAUCAUUAUCUGAGAAAAAUGCCUCAGACAGUUUGUGACUUUCUUUUUUUAUUGACAAGAAAGAAAAGACUGCUUAACAUGGACACCAUCGCUCUGGUGUAGUUUCCACCAGAUUGUUGUCGCCAUGCUCAAGCUGUGCUGGGAUGACUCAGGUUCUCCCUGGCAAUUGCCCUCAAGGGCAUCCCCACUGAUGGGUGGGUUGUCCGGUCUACAGGCCAACUGAUGGUGAGUCUGAGUCCACACAGAGCAAUCUUUCUGAAUGGUUUUGAAGACGACGACCCUGGCAUUCUGAGUCGUGGUCCACUCAUCAUUAUAACAAACACCUUGAUGCUCAUUGCUGUUGUGGUCGUCUUCAGAUUCUGCAUUUGGAUUUGCUUCCAACUCAAAGACAGCAAAGAAAUGUCUCCAGAGGAUGAUGCCGAGACACUUGCUCGCCAGAACCUUUGCCAUUGCGGAGGGGUGAGUCCUGUCCUGCCUCCAGGACUAAAAGCUCCAUCCAAGCAAGUCCCUUCAAACCUCCCCCUCUUCAAACUCGCACCAGCAGAAAGCUCAUCCGCUGGUGUGUGAUUCCCAGCUCCACAGGACUGUGCAGUGUUCCUGCUCCAGGUGCGCUUCUCCAAGCGCAGCGAGCAUAGAGAUCGGGAGCAUCGGGGAUGACAAGGAUGAAAACCUCUACAGCAGCGUUAUUCUUUCAUCCCUGCCUCCUCCACUGCCCACAGAUGAGUUCAGCAGAAGCUCUUCUGUUGACAGUGCCGCAAUGCAGGAGGAGAACACUGCAAACGCAGGUGCACCUGGCAUGGACGGAGCUGGAGCAGAGAUCAGCGACGAGGCCUGAGCGGGCGGCCGGCCGGGCUGGGCACCCCGACGCUGGGUGAGACGGGGGCGCGUGGUGGGAAAUGGGCAUCGGGGCUGCUGAGGUACAAGAGUGACACUGACGCUCCAAAGCACGUCAGCCAGAGCCCAGCAGAGCCCCGGCCCGUUUGCCCACAGACCCACCUACUCCCACGCCCGCGACUCCGCUGCCCGACACCAAGAGUCUGCUGCCACUGCCCAGCCCCAGCGCCUGCUCCCGCGCGCGCCCGCGCAGCCCCGACACCAGGGCAUGGACCGUGCCGUCCCUCCGCCCGCCUGCCACGCUGCCCUGCACCGUCCUGGCCGGCGCCAUCGCCACCCUCGGCCGCCUGCACCAGGAGGCAACUGGGCAAUAAAGAUCAAGUGGAGGCCGAGCUCACGCGGCGCCCGAGUGCUGUUUCCUGAGAGCAGCUCUUGGCGGGUGAUCCCUGCCGCCCGCAGCCCCCGGGGCACAGAGCCCCUCGGCUCUCACACGCUCGCACAUCGACGCUGCGGACCCCAUGGCGUGGGCUGGCAUCGCCCCUGUGCGAGAAGGAGCGCUCUUCUCUUUUAAACUAUGUACAUAUCUUAUUAGUAAUAAAGCCAAUGAGGCUGGAAACCAGCACUGGAAUCAGUGAAAUAUGACAAGAGAUUUUGGUAUCAUUGAAUAGGCAUAUGGAAGCAAUCAUUUCCUUGCACAGAAGAAAUCUUCAUAGAAAUCAGUAUUAUUAUCAUGUUACAUACUCAAGAUUUAUUCUCUAAAUGCACUUGCAUGGUUAGAUGGAUAGGAUUUAGAAGGGAAGGUUGAAGAAAUUGAAUUGAGACAAACUGAAAAGUAAUUUCCAAAUAAAGGAUAUAUAGCUGACAUGAAGUAUUUAGUAACAGAUUUGGAGGUGCUCUGAAACUGGAUGUUUUGGGGAAAAGAAAAUCCGAACUGUGAUGAGCUGUGUUGCUGAACUGCCACCUGGUGGCAAAGAAUUCACAAUACAGAAUUGAAAAAAAUAAUUGCCUUAAAAACGUUCUCACAUUUUUUAUAUAUUAGAAUGUGCAACGAUUUUUAAUUAAAUUAAAUACUUAAUGUUUAAACUCAGGAAUGAGAUGUUUGGAAAUCAGGACAUUGAGAUUAGACUGAAUGCUCCAUCUUAACUCUGCUCUUUUAUUUAUGCAUGAAAAUUGUAGCUUACAGUAGUAAGUGCGCAUGUGUAUUUGUGUGCACACAUAUGCAUGUGCACCUGUAGAGGUACAAAGAGAAGAAGGUCUAAUAUGACUGGAGUUCUGUGUCCUUAAUAGUAUUUUCAGAUCUGGCAUUGCUUUCAAGUUUUGGUAAGAUCAUCCAUUGAAAUCAAACUAUUUUUGUGAUUUUUAUUAUUAUUCUCCUGUAACUUAUGAGGUUAGUAAAUUGAGGGGGAGGGGCAAGGGGCGAUUCAAAUCCAGUGCAAUUUUAUCAUGUUAAAGUAUCAGGAGAGCUUUGUCUGUGAACUCAUUUCAUCUGCCGAUUUCACAGUGAAAUGUUUGUGUGUUGUUUAGGGGAACAGGGUAAAAGAGAAAGGAAGUAAAGGAGAUGAAACACUCAGACAAAUACUUAUACAUUGAAUAUUCUGAAUCUUUUGGAUUUGUUGGGCACUGAAAAUUAAUAGGCAAACAUUUCUCUUAUAGCAAGAGGAUGUUUUCCUGAAACUUGCACAGGAGUUUCCGUCAUGUGAAUGACCCCUUGGACAGAGGUUUAACUGUUGAGGUGAUGUUGUGAAACAAUUUGCAGACUGGGUUUUGAUUACUGUAUGUUGGAGCAGUAUCUGAAAGAGCCUGCCUAUUAUUCAAAGCUCACUUUUACUCAACUUUUGGUCUUCCUUCUGGGGUUUUUUUCUGGGCUUCUGACAUUGGAGAUUGCAACUCUCCUGCCUUGAUUAAUUCAGCCCUGCUGGCCAGGUCUACUGGGGAGACUUAUGUGUAACAUUUUCCUUUUUGUUUAGUUUACUUUGGGGAAAAAAUGCUGUAGUAGAAAUAGUGUCAAAAUGAUCCUAAGAUAGCUAUGCCUCCAAGGUUAAUUUGAUAUUUCUCUUCACAGAAACCAGUACUUUAAAACAACUGAAUCAGCUGUGC
Rhea pennata is the source of this 5222-nucleotide RNA transcript. It is a transcript of the gene named highly divergent homeobox, with no coding region annotated. The record is from RefSeq and is a predicted model, not a curated record. The transcript has 14 exons. Lineage: Eukaryota; Metazoa; Chordata; Aves; Rheiformes; Rheidae.